Non-coding RNA from Triticum aestivum (bread wheat), 125 nucleotides. NCBI's taxonomy places the organism in Eukaryota, Viridiplantae, Streptophyta, Magnoliopsida, Poales, Poaceae. The record is from Rfam.
UGAAUACUCCCUCCGUCCGAAAAUACUUGUCAUAUAAAUGGAUGUAUCGAGACGCAUUUUAGUUCUAGAUACAUCCACUUUUAUUCAUUUUUGUGACAAGUAAUUCCUGACGGAGGGAGUACGAU